ACUUACGGCCAUACCAGCCUGAAUGGACCCGAUCUCGUCAGAUCUCGGAAGCUAAGCAGUGUCGUGCCCGGUUAGUACUUGGAUGGGAGACUGCUUGGGAAUACCAGGUGCUGUAAGCA
Molecule: ribosomal RNA, 119 nt
Filed under: Hucho hucho (huchen)
Lineage: Eukaryota; Metazoa; Chordata; Actinopteri; Salmoniformes; Salmonidae
Source: RNAcentral